This 87-nucleotide microRNA precursor is filed under the name Solanum tuberosum (potato). RNAcentral describes it as "MIR8024 microRNA precursor family". It matches the Rfam family "MIR8024 microRNA precursor family". Lineage: Eukaryota; Viridiplantae; Streptophyta; Magnoliopsida; Solanales; Solanaceae. The record is from Rfam by way of RNAcentral.
UUGGAGGAUUUAAAGACUUAAACUUGCAGAGUUGAAGGAUUCGAAGACUUCAACUUGUAUACUUGUAGAAUUUGAAGACUUCCAAUU